CGGUGGACGGGUGAGUAACGCGUGGGUAACCUGCCUCAUACAGGGGGAUAACAGUUGGAAACGGCUGCUAAUACCGCAUAAGCGCACAGUACCGCAUGGUACGGUGUGAAAAACUCCGGUGGUAUGAGAUGGACCCGCGUCUGAUUAGGUAGUUGGUGGGGUAACGGCCUACCAAGCCGACGAUCAGUAGCCGACCUGAGAGGGUGACCGGCCACAUUGGGACUGAGACACGGCCCAA
This 238-nucleotide ribosomal RNA is filed under the name uncultured bacterium. RNAcentral's name for it is "partial 16S ribosomal RNA". It matches the Rfam family "Bacterial small subunit ribosomal RNA", at positions 96 to 334 of the family's 1533-position model. The record is from RNAcentral.